GGAUGCGAUCAUACCAGCACUAAAGCACCGGAUCCCAUCAGAACUCUCCGAAGUUAAGCGUGCUUGGGCGAGAGUAGUACUAGGAUGGGUGACCUCCUGGGAAGUCCUCGUGUUGCAUUCC
RNAcentral lists this ribosomal RNA (121 nucleotides) under Aegilops tauschii subsp. strangulata. The record is from RNAcentral. Lineage: Eukaryota; Viridiplantae; Streptophyta; Magnoliopsida; Poales; Poaceae.